GAUGAACGCUGGCGGCGUGCCUAAUACAUGCAAGUCGAGCGAACGGACGAGAAGCUUGCUUCUCUGAUGUUAGCGGCGGACGGGUGAGUAACACGUGGAUAACCUACCUAUAAGACUGGGAUAACUUCGGGAAACCGGAGCUAAUACCGGAUAAUAUUUUGAACCGCAUGGUUCAAAAGUGAAAGACGGUCUUGCUGUCACUUAUAGAUGGAUCCGCGCUGCAUUAGCUAGUUGGUAAGGUAACGGCUUACCAAGGCAACGAUGCAUAGCCGACCUGAGAGGGUGAUCGGCCACACUGGAACUGAGACACGGUCCAGACUCCUACGGGAGGCAGCAGUAGGGAAUCUUCCGCAAUGGGCGAAAGCCUGACGGAGCAACGCCGCGUGAGUGAUGGAGGUCUUCGGAUCGUAAAACUCUGUUAUUAGGGAAGAACAUAUGUGUAAGUAACUGUGCACAUCUUGACGGUACCUAAUCAGAAAGCCACGGCUAACUACGUGCCAGCAGCCGCGGUAAUACGUAGGUGGCAAGCGUUAUCCGGAAAUAUUUGGGCGUAAAGCGCGCGUAGGCGGUUUUUUAGUCUGAUGUGAAAGCCCGCGGCUCAACCGUGGAGGGUCAUUGGAAACUGGAAAACUUGAGUGCAGAAGAGGAAAGUGGAAUUCCAUGUGUAGCGGUGAAAUGCGCAGAGAUAUGGAGGAACACCAGUGGCGAAGGCGACUUUCUGGUCUGUAACUGACGCUGAUGUGCGAAAGCGUGGGGAUCAAACAGGAUUAGAUACCCUGGUAGUCCACGCCGUAAACGAUGAGUGCUAAGUGUUAGGGGGUUUCCGCCCCUUAGUGCUGCAGCUAACGCAUUAAGCACUCCGCCUGGGGAGUACGACCGCAAGGUUGAAACUCAAAGGAAUUGACGGGGACCCGCACAAGCGGUGGAGCAUGUGGUUUAAUUCGAAGCAACGCGAAGAACCUUACCAAAUCUUGACAUCCUUUGACAACUCUAGAGAUAGAGCUUUCCCCUUCGGGGGACAAAGUGACAGGUGGUGCAUGGUUGUCGUCAGCUCGUGUCGUGAGAUGUUGGGUUAAGUCCCGCAACGAGCGCAACCCUUAAGCUUAGUUGCCAUCAUUAAGUUGGGCACUCUAAGUUGACUGCCGGUGACAAACCGGAGGAGGGUGGGGAUGACGUCAAAUCAUCAUGCCCCUUAUGAUUUGGGCUACACACGUGCUACAAUGGACAAUACAAAGGGCAGCGAAACCGUGAGGUCAAGCAAAUCCCAUAAAGUUGUUCUCAGUUCGGAUUGUAGUCUGCAACUCGACUACAUGAAGCUGGAAUCGCUAGUAAUCGUAGAUCAGCAUGCUACGGUGAAUACGUUCCCGGGUCU
RNAcentral lists this ribosomal RNA (1372 nucleotides) under uncultured bacterium. RNAcentral describes it as "bacterial SSU rRNA". It matches the Rfam family "Bacterial small subunit ribosomal RNA", at positions 28 to 1381 of the family's 1533-position model. The record is from RNAcentral.